Molecule: unclassified non-coding RNA, 391 nt
Filed under: soil metagenome
Description: partial contains 5.8S ribosomal RNA, internal transcribed spacer 2, and large subunit ribosomal RNA
Rfam family: 5.8S ribosomal RNA (bases 1-120)
Source: RNAcentral
GAUGAAGAACGCAGUGAAAUGCGAUAAGUAAUGUGAAUUGCAGAAUCUCGUGAAUCAUUGAAUCUUUGAACGCACAUUGCGCCCUAUGGUAUUCCGUAGGGCAUGCCUGUCUGAGCGUUAGCUCACACCCCUCAAACUACUUUAUUGUUGGUUUGGAUGACUUUGGGAAAGCAUUAUAAAAAAAAAAAAUUUUUUUUUCUUAUGCCUCUCAGAAAUCUAUAGGCGGUACGGUUCCAACAAAACCAGAACGUAGUAAUUAAUUUUUAUAUCGUUCGUUUAUAUUUUGGAGGAGCUGUUGGCUUGCCUUUUGAACCCACAUAUUUAUUCUUAGGAAUAACCUCAGAUCAGGUAGGGAUACCCGCUGAACUUAAGCAUAUCAAUAAGCGGAGGA